This 542-nucleotide ribosomal RNA is filed under the name uncultured Micromonas. RNAcentral describes it as "SSU rRNA". It matches the Rfam family "Eukaryotic small subunit ribosomal RNA", at positions 611 to 1165 of the family's 1831-position model. The record is from RNAcentral. Lineage: Eukaryota; Viridiplantae; Chlorophyta; Mamiellophyceae; Mamiellales.
UGCUGCAGUUAAAAAGCUCGUAGUUGGAUUUCGGUUGAGAACGGCCGGUCCGCCGUUUGGUGUGCACUGGCUGGUUUCAACUUCCUGUAGAGGACGCGCUCUGGCUUCAUCGCUGGACGCGGAGUCUACGUGGUUACUUUGAAAAAAUUAGAGUGUUCAAAGCGGGCUUACGCUUGAAUAUUUCAGCAUGGAAUAACACUAUAGGACUCCUGUCCUAUUUCGUUGGUCUCGGGACGGGAGUAAUGAUUAAGAGGAACAGUUGGGGGCAUUCGUAUUUCAUUGUCAGAGGUGAAAUUCUUGGAUUUAUGAAAGACGAACUUCUGCGAAAGCAUUUGCCAAGGAUGUUUUCAUUAAUCAAGAACGAAAGUUGGGGGCUCGAAGAUGAUUAGAUACCAUCCUAGUCUCAACCAUAAACGAUGCCGACUAGGGAUUGCAGGAUGUUAAUUGAUGACUCCUGCAGCACCUUAUGAGAAAUCAAAGUUUUUGGGUUCCGGGGGGAGUAUGGUCGCAAGGCUGAAACUUAAAGGAAUUGACGGAAGGGC